UACGGAGGGAGCUAGCGUUGUUCGGAAUUACUGGGCGUAAAGCGCGCGUAGGCGGUCCAUUAAGUCAGGGGUGAAAUCCCGGAGCUCAACUCCGGAACUGCCCUUGAAACUGGCGGACUAGAAUCCUGGAGAGGCGAGUGGAAUUCCGAGUGUAGAGGUGAAAUUCGUAGAUAUUCGGAAGAACACCAGUGGCGAAGGCGACUCGCUGGACAGGUAUUGACGCUGAGGUGCGAAAGCGUGGGGAGCAAACAGG
RNAcentral lists this unclassified non-coding RNA (253 nucleotides) under uncultured Sphingomonadaceae bacterium. Its description in RNAcentral is "contains 16S-23S intergenic spacer region". It matches the Rfam family "Bacterial small subunit ribosomal RNA", at positions 524 to 776 of the family's 1533-position model. Lineage: Bacteria; Pseudomonadati; Pseudomonadota; Alphaproteobacteria; Sphingomonadales; Sphingomonadaceae. The record is from RNAcentral.